Non-coding RNA from Myotis davidii, 75 nucleotides. Lineage: Eukaryota; Metazoa; Chordata; Mammalia; Chiroptera; Vespertilionidae. The record is from Rfam.
GGCAGUUCUUGGGUGACACACCCCAGAAUCAGGCUCCCUCCUCUCUAGUUCUGGGUGCGUUACCAGAGAACCGCA